RNAcentral lists this long non-coding RNA (6724 nucleotides) under Populus tremula. Its description in RNAcentral is "long non-coding RNA (PTRE_LNC001182)". Lineage: Eukaryota; Viridiplantae; Streptophyta; Magnoliopsida; Malpighiales; Salicaceae. The record is from RNAcentral.
UAUUGAUGCAGAUAUCGGGCAGUCCAUUACCCGUUACUUGUGUUUUCACCCUAUUAAUGAAUUUGAGCCUUUCUUUGAGAGUUUGGGUCUAAAACCUCAUGAUUAUAAUCCUCUUCUUCCACGUGAUCUGAUGUUUUUAUGUGACGAUGAUUUACUUUUAGAGAAUUAUCAUGUUUUGUGUAAUUAUGGGAUUGCAAGAGGUAAGAUAGGAAAGAUUUAUAAGGAAGCCGCGGGAGUUUUCGGGUAUGGUUAUGGGGUCUUGGUGCUGAAACUAAAAGCUUAUGAGGAAUUGGGGCUUGGCCAGUCUUUUAUGAUUAAGUUGGUUGUCUGUAGCCCUUAUAUUUUGAUUGGAGAGGUGAAUGCAGACUUUAUCAAGGUAUUAGAGAUAUUGAGAAAAGAGGGAGUUGAUAUCAGUAGGAUUGAGGAGCAUUUGUCUGAGAAGAGUUCUUAUGACUGGAGCAAGUUGCUUGCACUGCUCAACUUAUUUAGGCAUGCAGGUUACAAUGAGGAGCAGCUAGGUGGACUCAUAAGCCAGCAUCUGGAAAUUUUCUUUGAGGAUUCCGUGGAUAGGAUAUAUUUGCUAAUUGGUUUCCUCCUCAAAUUUGGAUCCACGAUGAAUCAGAUAUGUUCUAUGUUUUUGCAGUUUCCACAAAUGGAAUUUGAGGAAUUCUUUUCAAAUCUAAGGCAUUGCUUUCUGUUCUUGAAUGAGAUCCAGAUGGAGGCACAUGAGAUUCGGAAUAUUUUGCGUUCUCACCCACUAAUGCUUGGUUCAUGUAGACUGAAGAAACCCAACACAUUGCGUUUAGCCUUACAUGCUGCAGAUAAGAGAAUGUGUGAAGUCAUCCAAGAGAACCCACAGGUUUUGAAGAAAUGGGUGAUGGGAUCAAAAGUUGAAAGAUUGCAAAACUUGAUACUAAAAUCACGGAUGCAGAAGACCAAGUUCUUGUUGGACUUGGGAAUUGUAGAUGACUCAAAUGAAAUAGGAAAAGCACUUAAGGUUUUCCGGGGCAGUGGAGCAAAGAUCCAAGAGAGGUUUGAUUGUAUUGUGGAAGCUGGUUUGAGCAGAAAAGAUGUUUGUGAAAUGAUAAAAGCAUCUCCUCAAAUUCUUAACCAAACGAAAGAUGUUCUUGAAAUGAAGAUUGAUUUUCUUGUAAAUAAUGUGGGUUAUCCAGUAUCAUAUUUGGUCACUUUCCCAUCGUAUCUUAAUUACACAAUGGAAAGAGUGGAGCUUAGGUUAGCAAUGUAUAAUUGGCUCAAAGAUCAAGGAAAAUCUGAGCCCAUGCUUUCCUUGAGCACUGUAAUUUCUCUCUCAGAUAAAAAGUUCAUUAAUGAGUAUGUAAAUAGUCAUCCUAGAGGCCCUGAAAUUUGGCAGAAUUUGAAGAAAGAAAUUUAUGCUGAAUAAAAAGCCACUAGCUGGACCUAUCUUGCACUUCGUUUGUUCUGUCCAUUGACAGGGAAGUUGCGAAGAUCUUUGAUUUUGUAACUUCUAUCUUUGAUUUUGUUACUUCUACUGGCAGAAAAAUUUCUGUCCAUCUUUGAUUGAGGUAUCGGACUGAUCAACAACAAGGGGAAUUAAGCUUGCAUAGAUUAAAAAAAAGGAAAAAAAAAAUUAGGUUAUGUUAUGCUCUUUCAUAGUAAUAUUUGUUAGUCUAAAUGUCUUUAAACACCUAUAGUUUAUUUAUUUUGAUGAUAACAAGUAGCGGAUUUAAUAUGCAUGUUAAAAGUUUUAAUGUUGUCAGAUAUUUUUUUUCACAUCAAUUUAAUGUAAUUUAGACUCCUUGUAUGCAAAUAUGAUUUGAUGUUUAAGCUCAAAUUAAUAUAAUCAAGUCUUUGUAGAAUUUAAUUUGGCAUUGCAAAAAUAAAUUUUACUCUAAAUUAUUUUCAAUUGCUGAAUUUUACCAUCCAAAAUAUUUUUAUUGCCUAAACUUAUAUAUAGUGAAAAUAUAGUGUGAAAAAUUAUUUAAUCAAAUUUUUUUUUAUUAUCAAUCAAUUCAUUAUAAAUGAAAAGCUUCCAUUCUUCUUUUCCAUAAUUCCUCUUUUCAUUCUCCUAAAGGAUUUAAACCCUAAAUCGCAUUCAGUCCCUUUUUCAUAUUCUUGACUUGUGCUUAAUUUUUUGUAAUCUUUUUUAGUAAAAUAUGAUAAUUCUUGCGAAAGCUUUAUCUAUUGUGAAAAUAUAAGUAAUACUUGAACUAUUUGAGUAAUAUUUGAUCGUGGUUUAAAUCUUGAUCCUUGAAAAGAUUAUGAUUGUAAAGUUUUCUAACCUUGAUCCUAGAAAAAUAUUAGUGUAAUCGAUAAGGUUUGAAUCGCUGAAAAAACUAUUAAUUGAUAGCAAAUACUUAAAUAGAGAUUUAUAUAGUAAAAUAGAUGGUUGUUCGAAUUACUAUAAAACUUGGUGUGUCUUUCGCUGAUUAUCUAUUUUAUUAUAUUUGUAUCUUGAUCAAAAUUAAGGUGUUAGUUUUUUUAAACUAUAACAAGUAUGAGAAUCACUUCCUCUUGAGUUAUUUUAGACUUUCAAUGUCAAUAGUAAACGUUAGCCAAAAAAAAAAAAAAAGAUAUGAUUUCCUCUUUCUUUUGAAGCUAUAGAUUUUUGUCUUUAGAAUUGAAACUAAAAAAGUAAAAGGACCUUCACCAAAUUUGUUUUGUGUUUUGUUUAUAAACCUGGUAAUGAUUAAAAAAUCAGAUUUGUCUUGUACCAUUGCACUUGCGAAGGUCAGCAGGUAUAAUGUCUGAGUUUCGCGGAUUGUAUUUUUUAAAGUAAUUUUUAUAUUAAAAUAAUAUUUUUUAUUUUUAAAAAUUAUUUUUGAUAUUAAUAUAUAAAAUAAUAAAAAAUAUAUAUAUAUAAAAUAAUUUUUAAUAAAAAAUUAAAUUUUAAAAAAUACGCCAAAUGAUUAGAACUCUUUAGCUGAAACUAAAAAUGUUAUUGCAAGUAAAGAAUCAGGAGCCACUCUGUGUGGUCCGCAAUGAUUGCUUGCAGGGGCAGGAGAGCUCGCUGAUGGGGGCCUCAAAGAUGUUGUCGAGAAUGUAGGACACCAUUGGUAGAAACAUAUAUUAGCAAUUAGUUGAUGAUACGAAGCUAGACUUGCAAGAACUUCAUGUGUUGCGGUAUAAUUAGAGUUUUAAAAGUAUUUUUUUAAAAAAAUUAUUUUUAUUAUUUUUUAAUUUAAAAUUAUUAUUUUUUAAUAUUUUCAGAUAUUAAUGUAUUAAUAUCAAAAAUUAUUUUUAAAAAAAUUAUUUUAAUAUAUUUCUGAAUAAAAAAUAAUUUAAAAAGGAAUUAUUACUAUAUUCAUAGACAUCCCUUUAAUUUCUUAUAAAUAAUUAUACCAUUUAUGGGUGAUUUUUUUUGGUGAAAACAAAAUUUUAUUUAUACAUGUUUUGGGCAAAAACAAAACCACAACUGUCACAAUUCAAUUCACAUGAACAAAAUCUUUUUAAGAAUUAUAGCGUCGCCAACAUUACACAAUGAAGUGCAUUUAAUUGCCAUUAAAAUGUAAGUCUCGAAAUAAUCCCACAAACAUGUCCAUAUAUAAAGGCAACAAUUGACUUACAUAUUACAACUCAUUCAACGCCACUCGAAUAACAUGAAUAUUUAUAAUGCAAUAGCAAAAAUCAUUCAACACAUAUCGCAAAUUACUCCAAGCAAUCAAAUACACAUUCAUAGAUCAAAACCCAACAUUUAUAAUAAAUAAUUCUAAGAACAUAUAAAUCACAUAUUCGAGGUUUAAAAUUGACCUUUACAAGUUGCUAUAGUCAACUGAAACUAGACAAAACAUCUUCACUGAAGAUGAGAGAUCGAUGGCUUGGAAAGUCUUGAUUAUUUUGCUAAAGAUUUUCUAGGCUGCUUCUUUUGUGUUGUUGAUAUUGCUGGUCUAGUGACUGGUUGUGGGGAAGAGGAGGACAAUGGAUGGUCAACUCUGAAUGACAUUUUUUUAAUAUGAGAAAUUUGACUCAUUAAUUUUCGUUUUAUUGUUUUAGAUGUUGUAUCUUUGAGUGUUGCAUCGACAACAUUUGCAUUACUUGUAUAACCAUUGCAAAAGCAUCCUCUGUUUUUAAAGAAGAAAUGUGCUCAACAGUUUUAUUUUAAUUUUGAGUUUCUAUUAAAAAAAAAGUAUUUAAUGCAUAUGAAGAAGACUUUUCAAGAUUUUUCACAUCAAACUCUUAUGCUUAUGUUCAUCUACUCUUCUCUACCAUGGUAAAUGUGUCAAUUCUUUUUUCAAUAUAAUAGUUUUUUUUUCUAAACUUUCUAAUAAUAACCGAUUGAUUUCAUGAGUGUUUGAUAUUAAAAAAAAAAAAGAGAUACAUCAUCACGCAUGAGUCGGAUGGCAUCCAUCGAGCGAGAGUUACAAAGUACUUUCCUCUCUGUUUCUGUUUUUUGGGCCUUUUAAGAUUAGAAGUCUUAAAGUCAUGGAGUAAAGUGUAAUAGCUAGAAAGUUUGAGGAUGCCACUAUAGCUUAGUUUUGUGCUAUUGAGGCAAAAAUAGCCUCUCUCCGAUCCCUAUUUAGCUUUCGUCCUUCAGAAACCCGUGAGGAGUGAGGACUUGCCGCUCAGCAGCCCCUUCCAAGUUCCAUGCUUUGCUCCACUGAACCAGAUGGAAAGGGAGGAAAUCCUGCCCCUUAUAUCUCAAAAUCUCUCGUAGAAAUCACUAAACUCACCAAGCCUACCACACUAACAAGGUAAGAAACUCUCCAAGAAACUCGCUUUUAUACAUUUCUAGUGAACUUAUCGUACCUUAGCCUUUCUUUUUGUUUGUUAACUCUCUAGCUAUCACCGCUCUUCAUUUCUCAUCAAAAUAACCAUGAACCAUUUUGGAAAAUUUAAGAUUUUCAAUUGGGUUUCUUCCAAUUUUGUUGGUAGCCACAAAACCUGGUUGUCCUCUAUGAUGUCAUUAUUCAGCAUUGCAGAAAGCCCUAUGUUCUAUAGGACCAAGAGGAUAGUUCAAACUGAAAAUGGACAAAGCAUAAACCCAGUUUCUAGGACAGCAGCCCAAACUGCGUUAUUAGAGUAUCUGUACGUCACUAGAAACAUACAGUUUACGGAUGCAGAUAAUAUGAGUAAAAAUUCACCUCAUUUUCUUGAAAAGUUAUUAGCAAAAGUUGAUAUUGAUGCAGAUAUCGGGCAUUCCAUUACCCGUUUCUUGUGUUUUCACCCUAUUAAUGAAUUUGAGCCUUUCUUUGAGAGUUUGGGUCUAAAACCUCAUGAUUAUAAUCCUCUUCUUCCACGUGAUCUGAUGUUUUUAUGUGACGAUGAUUUACUUUUAGAGAAUUAUCAUGUUUUGUGUAAUUAUGGGAUUGCAAGAAGUAAGAUAGGAAAGAUUUAUAAGGAAGCCGCGGGAGUUUUCGGUUAUGAUUAUGGGGUCUUGUUGCUGAAACUAAAAGCUUAUGAGGAAUUGGGGCUUGGCCAGUCUUUUAUGAUGAAGUUGGUUGUCUGUAGCCCUUAUCUUUUGAUUGGAGAGGUGAAUGCAGACUUUAUCAAGGUAUUAGAGAUAUUGAGAAAAGAGGGAGUUGAUAUCAGUCGGAUUGAGGAGCAUUUGUCUGAGAAGAGUUCGUAUGACUGGAGCAAGUUGCUUGCACUGCUCAACUUAUUUAGGCAUGCAGGUUACAAUGAGAAGCAGCUAGGUGGACUCAUAAGCCAGCAUCUGGCAAUUUUCUUUGAGGAUUCCGUGGAUAGGAUAUAUUUGCUAAUUGGUUUCCUCCUCAAAUUUGGAUCCACGAUGAAUCAGAUAUGUUCUAUGUUUUUGCGGUUUCCGCGAAUGGAAUUUGAGGAAUUCUUUUCAAAUUUAAGGCAUUGCUUUCUGUUCUUGAAUGAGAUCCAGAUGGAGGCACAUGAGAUUCGGAAUAUUUUCUGUUCUCACCCACUAAUGCUUGGUUCAUGUAGACUGAAGAAACCCAACACAUUGCGUUUAGCCUUACAUGCUGCAGAAAAGAGAAUGUGUGAAGUCGUCCAAGAGAGCCCACAAGUUUUGAAGAAAUGGGUGAUGGGAUCAAAAGUUGAACGAUUGCCAAACUUGAGACUUAAAUCACGGAAGCUGAAGACCAAGUUCUUGCUGGACUUGGGAAUUGUAGAUAACUCAAAUAAAAUAGGAAAAGCACUCAAGGUUUUCCGGGGCAGUGGAGAAAAGUUCCAAGAGAGGUUUGAUUGUAUUGUGGAAGCUGGUUUGAGCAGAAAAGAUGUUUGUGAAAUGAUAAAAGCAUCUCCUCAAAUUCUUGGCCAAUCGAAAGAUGUUCUUGAAAUGAAGAUUGAUUUUCUUGUAAAUAAGGUGGGUUAUCCAGUAUCAUAUUUGGUCACUUUCCCAUCCUAUCUUAAUUUCACAACGCAAAGAGUGGAGCUUAGGUUAGCAAUGUAUAAUUGGCUCAAAGAUCAAGGAAAACCUGUCCCCGUGCUUUCCUCGAGAAGUUUAAUUUCUCUCUCAGACAAAAAGUUCAUUAAUGAGUAUGUAAAUAGUCAUCCUAGAGGCUCUGAAAUUUGGCAGAAUUUGAAGAAAGAAAUUUAUGCUGAAUAAAAAGCCUAUAAAAAGUUCAUUUAUACUUUCCUUGAUGAGUUUUUCUUGUUAAUUUUCACUUCUUCUGUCACUCUUUUCAUAAGAACAGAAUGUCUCAAGUGAUUUUAGGCGAGGAUUGUUGAAUUUUAAUUCAUCCCUGUACCUUAGCAUUGUACUAGAUCUGUUGCCCGCGCUUCACAACAGGACUUGAUCUGAGUUGUUUAGUGGUUGGUGCUUGGAUAGAAAAGA